This is a long non-coding RNA of Lagopus muta (rock ptarmigan), 324 nucleotides long. RefSeq lists it as uncharacterized. The record is from RefSeq and is a predicted model, not a curated record. Lineage: Eukaryota; Metazoa; Chordata; Aves; Galliformes; Phasianidae. The transcript is spliced from 3 exons.
AGUAACUGGCAGUGUGCUAACAGCAUGAAUGAAUAUCUUCUCAACUAUGAUUAUGAGCUGGAACAAGAGCCUUUGCCUGUAGUAGAUGUCUUAGCCCUCUGGUGAUCCAUUGGCAAGAGUAUGGAGUAGCCAGAACUUUAUGAGUCCAUAUGAUUCCCCUGAGAUUUUAAGCAAGUCAUUCCUUCUUGGAGUACUGUAGGAGCAUAAGAGCCCACAGCUACAGGGAAGCAAAUGAAUCUAAAAGUCCAGUCAUCAAUAGUUUGCAAUUGACCUAAGUGUGCUGCCAUCUGCUCUGCAAACCAGCUGCCACAAAAAAAAAAAAAA